This 1114-nucleotide ribosomal RNA is filed under the name Echidnophaga gallinacea (sticktight flea). RNAcentral's name for it is "SSU rRNA". It matches the Rfam family "Eukaryotic small subunit ribosomal RNA", at positions 164 to 1218 of the family's 1831-position model. The record is from RNAcentral. Lineage: Eukaryota; Metazoa; Arthropoda; Insecta; Siphonaptera; Pulicidae.
GCUAUACAUGCAAAUAGAGUUCCGACCAGUGAUGGAAGGAAUGCUUUUAUUAGAUUCAAAACCAAUCGGUAGCGGGCUUGCCUUGCCGCCGUUUGACUUGAUGACUCUGAAUAACUUAGUGCUGAUCGCACGGUCUCGUACCGGCGACGCAUCUUUCAAAUGUCUGCCUUAUCAACUGUCGAUGGUAGUUUCUGCGACUACCAUGGUUGUUACGGGUAACGGGGAAUCAGGGUUCGAUUCCGGAGAGGGAGCCUGAGAAACGGCUACCACAUCCAAGGAAGGCAGCAGGCGCGCAAAUUACCCACUCCCGGCACGGGGAGGUAGUGACGAAAAAUAACGAUACGGGACUCAUCCGAGGCCCCGUAAUCGGAAUGAGUACACUUUAAAUCCUUUAACGAGGAUCUAUUAGAGGGCCAGUCUGGUGCCAGCAGCCGCGGUAAUUCCAGCUCUAAUAGCGUAUAUUAAAGUUGUUGCGGUUAAAAAGCUCGUAGUUGAAUCUGUGUCCCGCACUGUCGGUUCACCGCUCGCGGUGUUCAACUGGCAUGUCUGUGGGACGUCCUGCCGGUGGGUUUAGCCCGUCAAAAGGCGACCCAACUAAAAUCCUACCACGGUGCUCUUUACCGAGUGUCGAGGUGGGCCGGCACGUUUACUUUGAACAAAUUAGAGUGCUUAAAGCAGGCUCAUUCGCCUGAAUAUUGUGUGCAUGGAAUAAUGGAAUAGGACCUCGGUUCUAUUUUGUUGGUUUUCGGAAUGCCGAGGUAAUGAUUAAUAGGGACAACUGGGGGCAUUCGUAUUGCGACGUUAGAGGUGAAAUUCUUGGAUCGUCGCAAGACGAACAGAAGCGAAAGCAUUUGCCAAAUGUGUUUUCAUCAAUCAAGAACGAAAGUUAGAGGUUCGAAGGCGAUCAGAUACCGCCCUAGUUCUAACCAUAAACGAUGCCAGCUAGCGAUCCGCCGAAGUUCCUCCGAUGACUCGGCGGGCAGCUUCCGGGAAACCAAAGCAUUUGGGUUCCGGGGGAAGUAUGGUUGCAAAGCUGAAACUUAAAGGAAUUGACGGAAGGGCACCACCAGGAGUGGAGCCUGCGGCUUAAUUUGACUCAACACGGAAACCUCAC